GAUGAACGCUGGCGGCGUGCCUAAUACAUGCAAGUCGAGCGAACAGACGAGGAGCUUGCUCCUCUGACGUUAGCGGCGGACGGGUGAGUAACACGUGGAUAACCUACCUAUAAGACUGGGAUAACUUCGGGAAACCGGAGCUAAUACCGGAUAAUAUAUUGAACCGCAUGGUUCAAUAGUGAAAGACGGUUUUGCUGUCACUUAUAGAUGGAUCCGCGCCGCAUUAGCUAGUUGGUAAGGUAACGGCUUACCAAGGCAACGAUGCGUAGCCGACCUGAGAGGGUGAUCGGCCACACUGGAACUGAGACACGGUCCAGACUCCUACGGGAGGCAGCAGCAGGGAAUCUUCCGCAAUGGGCGAAAGCCUGACGGAGCAACGCCGCGUGGGUGAUGAAGGUCUUCGGAUCGUAAAACUGUGUUAUUAGGGAAGAACAAAUGUGUAAGUAACUAUGCACGUCUUGACGGUACCUAAUCAGAAAGCCACGGCUAACUACGUG
RNAcentral lists this ribosomal RNA (497 nucleotides) under uncultured bacterium. RNAcentral's name for it is "partial 16S ribosomal RNA". It matches the Rfam family "Bacterial small subunit ribosomal RNA", at positions 28 to 507 of the family's 1533-position model. The record is from RNAcentral.